RNAcentral lists this ribosomal RNA (245 nucleotides) under uncultured bacterium. RNAcentral describes it as "partial small subunit ribosomal RNA". It matches the Rfam family "Bacterial small subunit ribosomal RNA", at positions 26 to 285 of the family's 1533-position model. The record is from RNAcentral.
AGAAUCAACGCUGGCGGCGUGCCUAACACAUGCAAGUCGCACGAGAAAGGGGAGCAAUCCCUGAGUAAAGUGGCGCACGGGUGAGUAACACGUGAAUAAUCUACCUCCGAGUGGGGAAUAACUGAGAGAAAUCUUAGCUAAUACCGCAUAAUACCCACGGGUCAAAGCAGCAAUGCGCUUGGAGAGGAGUUCGCGGCCGAUUAGUUAGUUGGCGGGGUAAUGGCCCACCAAGACGAUGAUCUGUA